AUUGUCGAAACCUGCCCAGCAGAACGACCCGCGAAUACGUAACACAACGUUUGGGGGGCGAGGGGGGCGCACGCCCUCUCCUUCCCAUCGUCGGGAUGCGCUCGGUGCUGCUCCGCACCUCCCAUGCCCUGUGCACGGGAAGCGUCUGUGCCGGUGCGCUCCCGACCUCACAACGAACCCCGGCGCAAAACGCGCCAAGGAACUUGAACGCAAGAGAGCAUGCACCCGCUGCCUCGGUCUCGGGGCCCGCGGGAGGCAGUGCCAUCUUCGAUACUCUAACGACUCUCGGCAACGGAUAUCUCGGCUCUCGCAUCGAUGAAGAACGUAGCGAAAUGCGAUACUUGGUGUGAAUUGCAGAAUCCCGUGAACCAUCGAGUCUUUGAAGCCAAGUUGCGCCCAAAGCCAUUAGGCCGAGGGCACGUCUGCCUGGGCGUCACGUAUUGCGUCGCACCCCGACCCCCGCCCAAUGUCAUCUUGGCGCGGGGCCUCGCGUGGAGCGGAUACUGGCCUCCCGUGGGAUUUCCCGCGGCUGGCCUAAAUGCGAGCCCCGAGCGACGGACGUCACGAUAAGUGGUGGUUUUUAAGCCGCAGUGUCGUAUCGUGCGUUGCCCCGUCGCCAACGGGAGCCACACAAUACCCCCGUGCGUCGUGAUCGCGACGCUUCCAUCGCGACCCCAGGUCAGGCGGGACUACCCGC
This 697-nucleotide ribosomal RNA is filed under the name Mytilaria laosensis. RNAcentral's name for it is "eukaryotic LSU rRNA". The stretch from base 281 to 436 matches the Rfam family "5.8S ribosomal RNA". The record is from RNAcentral. Lineage: Eukaryota; Viridiplantae; Streptophyta; Magnoliopsida; Saxifragales; Hamamelidaceae.